GCACUGCUGAUGAGACCUAAUCAGGUCGAAACAGUUGUCCAGUGC
Molecule: non-coding RNA, 45 nt
Organism: Echinostoma caproni
Lineage: Eukaryota; Metazoa; Platyhelminthes; Trematoda; Plagiorchiida; Echinostomatidae
Source: Rfam